RNAcentral lists this ribosomal RNA (271 nucleotides) under uncultured prokaryote. RNAcentral describes it as "partial 16S ribosomal RNA". It matches the Rfam family "Bacterial small subunit ribosomal RNA", at positions 524 to 794 of the family's 1533-position model. The record is from RNAcentral.
UACGUAGGUGGCAAGCGUUGUCCGGAUUUACUGGGCGUAAAGGGAGCGUAGGUGGAUAUUUAAGUGGGAUGUGAAAUACUCGGGCUUAACCUGGGUGCUGCAUUCCAAACUGGAUAUCUAGAGUGCAGGAGAGGAAAGGAGAAUUCCUAGUGUAGCGGUGAAAUGCGUAGAGAUUAGGAAGAAUACCAGUGGCGAAGGCGCCUUUCUGGACUGUAACUGACACUGAGGCUCGAAAGCGUGGGGAGCAAACAGGAUUAGAUACCCUGGUAGU